CUGGUCUGUCACUUUACUUACUCGUGUUCCAUCGUGCCGGGCACGGGUAUCGCGGGUUAUUUGCAUUUUUUAAAUAAAACACAUACAAAUUCGCGACGUGGAAAAUAAGAACGAAUGAAAUGUUUGAACAUAUGCACUAACCGACACUCGAGAUAUGAAAACUAUGUAAAUUACAAUAGAACUUUCGACAACAGUUAAAGCAAUUAAGAUAAAUUCUUGAGCGUAUUUUCAAAAUAAAGGAAUAAAAAUCACGCGCGUGGGAGCUGCAUCGUACAAUACCUAAGUGAUACCGUUCUUGUUAAUAUGAACGAACAGUGUUGUGCAACCUAUGGUACAAGUAACAAGUGAACUGUAAAAAUAAAGUAAUGGCGAGGGGGUGUGGUACGAAGUGAAAGCAACAAUAUUUGAAAUUCACAAUGAGAAACUGUCAAGGCAAAUAGGCAUGUGCAAUUGUACUAAUUAAAUUCACCUUUGGAAGCAUCGGCGUAAAACAAACAGCGAGAAAGCAAACAUACAACGUAAAAUGACUUAAAUUAAUUUCAUGAAAACGAUAGCUGCAAUUGGCAAAGGAGAUUGGGGAUGCUUUCUGCUUCUGAUUUGGGGAGAAAAUUUUUGGGAAAAUGUAAAAAAGAGAAUUUAUGGCAGUAAUGUGGCAAAUACUGAUCAAUUUUUCCAAAAAAGGGUUCUGAGAUAUGGAUAAAUAUACCCCAAUUCAUCGUUUCAUUGCCAUGGCGAUUUAAAGCAGUGAUAGGGAGUAAUGAGUUUGACCAUGCCCACAACAGUCGGGUCGACAUAACCGGAACUGACCCGAAUUUUUUAACCAAUCAAGGACUGUCAACUCAACAGAAUUCUGCCACUACAAUAACAACAACAGUAAUGAGUUUGCCACAAAAUCUAAGGAUUUGCUUUUAUUUUACUAAAAAUAAUGUGCCGUUUUCUUUCAGUUGUUUUUUUCUUAUUGAAUAUGUACUAUAGAUGUUACAUCGAUUUUUAUUACAUUAAAUAAAAAACUGUGAAAUUUUAAUAAA
Molecule: long non-coding RNA, 1028 nt
Organism: Bactrocera neohumeralis
Lineage: Eukaryota; Metazoa; Arthropoda; Insecta; Diptera; Tephritidae
Exons: 2
Source: RefSeq, a predicted model, not a curated record